Molecule: ribosomal RNA, 1011 nt
Filed under: Staphylococcus aureus
Lineage: Bacteria; Bacillati; Bacillota; Bacilli; Caryophanales; Staphylococcaceae
Description: bacterial SSU rRNA
Rfam family: Bacterial small subunit ribosomal RNA
Source: RNAcentral
AGGAUGAACGCUGGCGGCGUGCCUAAUACAUGCAAGUCGAGCGAACGGACGAGAAGCUUGCUUCUCUGAUGUUAGCGGCGGACGGGUGAGUAACACGUGGAUAACCUACCUAUAAGACUGGGAUAACUUCGGGAAACCGGAGCUAAUACCGGAUAAUAUUUUGAACCGCAUGGUUCAAAAGUGAAAGACGGUCUUGCUGUCACUUAUAGAUGGAUCCGCGCUGCAUUAGCUAGUUGGUAAGGUAACGGCUUACCAAGGCAACGAUGCAUAGCCGACCUGAGAGGGUGAUCGGCCACACUGGAACUGAGACACGGUCCAGACUCCUACGGGAGGCAGCAGUAGGGAAUCUUCCGCAAUGGGCGAAAGCCUGACGGAGCAACGCCGCGUGAGUGAUGAAGGUCUUCGGAUCGUAAAACUCUGUUAUUAGGGAAGAACAUAUGUGUAAGUAACUGUGCACAUCUUGACGGUACCUAAUCAGAAAGCCACGGCUAACUACGUGCCAGCAGCCGCGGUAAUACGUAGGUGGCAAGCGUUAUCCGGAAUUAUUGGGCGUAAAGCGCGCGUAGGCGGUUUUUUAAGUCUGAUGUGAAAGCCCACGGCUCAACCGUGGAGGGUCAUUGGAAACUGGAAAACUUGAGUGCAGAAGAGGAAAGUGGAAUUCCAUGUGUAGCGGUGAAAUGCGCAGAGAUAUGGAGGAACACCAGUGGCGAAGGCGACUUUCUGGUCUGUAACUGACGCUGAUGUGCGAAAGCGUGGGGAUCAAACAGGAUUAGAUACCCUGGUAGUCCACGCCGUAAACGAUGAGUGCUAAGUGUUAGGGGGUUUCCGCCCCUUAGUGCUGCAGCUAACGCAUUAAGCACUCCGCCUGGGGAGUACGACCGCAAGGUUGAAACUCAAAGGAAUUGACGGGGACCCGCACAAGCGGUGGAGCAUGUGGUUUAAUUCGAAGCAACGCGAAGAACCUUACCAAAUCUUGACAUCCUUUGACAACUCUAGAGAUAGAGCCUUCCC